CUGUGCAGAAAAGAGAUUACUGAGCUCAGAGAAAGCUGUAAACAGAGCAGCAGGCUGUAAUUGCAGAGCCAGGGGGAUCUGCCUACCUCUCCCCCCUUCCUCCAAAAUGCCCUCUGGAUUGAAGGGAAUUCAAAGUGAGAACUGUUAUGCAAAGAGAGUGAUGGAAUGGGAUUGCUUGACCUCGCCAGGCAACAGGUGAGGGCUACAGAGCGUGGCCAGCCAGUUUCAAGAGACCCACCAAGAAAAAGGACCACACGUGAUUUAGUGAUGGUUCUCUCCUCGAGGACAGCAAAAAUCAAGAGUUGGCUCAAAUUAGGUUGUACCCCAAAAUUCAGUUUAAAUCUGACUUA
Long non-coding RNA from Myotis brandtii (Brandt's bat), 350 nucleotides. RefSeq lists it as uncharacterized. Lineage: Eukaryota; Metazoa; Chordata; Mammalia; Chiroptera; Vespertilionidae. The transcript has 2 exons. The record is from RefSeq and is a predicted model, not a curated record.